RNAcentral lists this ribosomal RNA (542 nucleotides) under Staphylococcus sp. HMSC066C03. RNAcentral describes it as "bacterial LSU rRNA". It matches the Rfam family "Bacterial large subunit ribosomal RNA", at positions 926 to 1471 of the family's 2925-position model. The record is from RNAcentral. Lineage: Bacteria; Bacillati; Bacillota; Bacilli; Caryophanales; Staphylococcaceae.
CCCUCUCGGGUUACCGAAUUCAGACAAACUCCGAAUGCCAAUCAAUUUAACUUGGGAGUCAGAACAUGGGUGAUAAGGUCCGUGUUCGAAAGGGAAACAGCCCAGACCACCAGCUAAGGUCCCAAAAUAUAUGUUAAGUGGAAAAGGAUGUGGCGUUGCCCAGACAACUAGGAUGUUGGCUUAGAAGCAGCCAUCAUUUAAAGAGUGCGUAAUAGCUCACUAGUCGAGUGACACUGCGCCGAAAAUGUACCGGGGCUAAACAUAUUACCGAAGCUGUGGAUUGUCCUUCGGACAAUGGUAGGAGAGCGUUCUAAGGGCGUUGAAGCAUGAUCGCAAGGACAUGUGGAGCGCUUAGAAGUGAGAAUGCCGGUGUGAGUAGCGAAAGACGGGUGAGAAUCCCGUCCACCGAUUGACUAAGGUUUCCAGAGGAAGGCUCGUCCGCUCUGGGUUAGUCGGGUCCUAAGCUGAGGCCGACAGGCGUAGGCGAUGGAUAACAGGUUGAUAUUCCUGUACCACCUAGUAUCGUUUUAAUCGAUGGGGGG